This 767-nucleotide non-coding RNA is filed under the name Pan troglodytes (chimpanzee). Lineage: Eukaryota; Metazoa; Chordata; Mammalia; Primates; Hominidae. The record is from RNAcentral.
AGGAAGAGGAGGAUUCCGAUGACUCCAAGGCAACAGUCUCUGGGACACUGAACCCACUUCACCUCAGCACAAAAACAGCUGGCCUCAUUCAUCAUGUGUAGCCGAUUCAGCUUCUCUGGGAAACUCCAAAACCCUCUCAAAGGGUCCUCAACCUCUGCCCUCAAACCACUAUCGCCGUGAGGAUGACGAUGACAAUGACAAUGACGAUGCUGAUGACAAUGAUGGCCUGUGUGCAACACUCUGCUGGCCCUCCCAGAGGCUCUACCAGGAAUCCCCCACAGCCUGGGACUUCUGCUCCUGGAAACAGUUAAGGCUUUGGCAAGAGGCUCUCCCACAAGGCAAUUCGAUCUCCCCUGUCUGUCUGUGAGGGUUCGGGGCACUGCUGUGGCACGCCAGACACAGCAGCUACUUUCUGUGAACAGCCUCCUCAUAAACGUCAGUCCUGUUGGGGGGUGGGGAGGGGGCCUUGAUUUAUUAUAUAGCUUUUGGACAGUUCCUACAGAAAUAUUGCCAAACAGUGGAAUAAUCAACUCUUUCACUCAAGCCCCCUCAGACUUUUUUAAAUGAAAGAAUAAAGUACGCAAUGAGCCUGAGCUAAAUAAAUAAAAAUGCCACACUUUUGCCCAACAGACCUUUCUGCGUCACUGAGAAAUAUUUGCAGACCUCAACAAUCUUUUAUCUUCGUGAUGAUGUUCCAGCCUUCCAAGUUUCGGACAUCCUAAGAAAUUCUUUGAUUUGGGCUCUCUAAUGAUCUCCCAUGAACAAUU